RNAcentral lists this ribosomal RNA (396 nucleotides) under uncultured bacterium. RNAcentral's name for it is "partial 16S ribosomal RNA". It matches the Rfam family "Bacterial small subunit ribosomal RNA", at positions 523 to 918 of the family's 1533-position model. The record is from RNAcentral.
AUACGUAGGGGGCAAGCGUUAUCCGGAUUUACUGGGUGUAAAGGGAGCGCAGACGGCAAUGCAAGUCUGAAGUGAAAGCUCGCGGCUCAACCGCGGAACUGCUUUGGAAACUGUAUAGCUUGAGUACCGGAGGGGUGAGCGGAAUUCCUAGUGUAGCGGUGAAAUGCGUAGAUAUUAGGAGGAACACCAGUGGCGAAGGCGGCCUGCUGGACGACAACUGACGCUGAGGCGCGAAAGCGUGGGGAGCAAACAGGAUUAGAUACCCUGGUAGUCCACGCUGUAAACGAUGAAUACUAGGUGUGGGGGGACUGACCCCCUCCGUGCCGCAGUUAACACAAUAAGUAUUCCACCUGGGGAGUACGAUCGCAAGAUUGAAACUCAAAUGAAUUGGCGGGG